RNAcentral lists this ribosomal RNA (1188 nucleotides) under metagenome. RNAcentral's name for it is "SSU rRNA". It matches the Rfam family "Eukaryotic small subunit ribosomal RNA", at positions 612 to 1823 of the family's 1831-position model. The record is from RNAcentral.
GUUGCGGUUAAAAAGCUCGUAGUUGGAUCUCGGUUUCACUCAGGUGGUACACCUUGCGGUGUUCACUAUCUGGGUGGACGUUUCUGUUGGUUCGCUCUUGGUGCUCUUCAUCGGGUGCCAUUUGGUGGCCAGCACGUUUACUUUGAAAAAAUUGGAGUGCUCAAAGCAGGCGUUACAGCCUGAACAUUAGUGCAUGGAAUAAUGGAAUAGGAUCUCGAUUCUAUUUCGUUGGCUUUCGGAGUCGAGGUAAUGAUUAAUAGGGACAGACGGGGGCAUUCGUACUGCGACGUUAGAGGUGAAAUUCUUGGAUCGUCGCAAGACGAACUACUGCGAAAGCAUUUGCCAAGAAUGUUUUCAUUAAUCAAGAACGAAAGUUAGAGGUUCGAAGGCGAUCAGAUACCGCCCUAGUUCUAACCAUAAACGAUGCCAACCGGCGAUCCGUCGUCGUUAAUUGAAUGACUCGACGGGCAGCCUCCGGGAAACCAGAGUGUUUGGGUUCCGGGGGAAGUAUGGUUGCAAAGCUGAAACUUAAAGGAAUUGACGGAAGGGCACCACCAGGAGUGGAGCCUGCGGCUUAAUUUGACCCAACACGGGAAAUCUCACCAGGCCCGGACACCGGAAGGAUUGACAGAUUGAGAGCUCUUUCUUGAUUCGGUGGGUGGUGGUGCAUGGCCGUUCUUAGUUGGUGGAGCGAUUUGUCUGGUUAAUUUUGAUAACGAACGAGACUCUGGCCUACUAACUAGAAGGUCUAUCCUUUAUGGGUAGGCCUCUGCUUCUUAGAGGGACGGGCGGCGUUUAGCCGCACGAGAAUGAGCAAUAACAGGUCUGUGAUGCCCUUAGAUGUUCUGGGCUGCACGCGCGCUACACUGAAGGAAUCAGCAUGUUCUCCCCUCCCUGAAAAGGGCGGGUAACCCGUUGAAACUCCUUCGUGAUGGGGAUUGGAGAUUGUAAUUAUUCUCCAUGAACGAGGAAUUCCCAGUAGGCGCGAGUCAUCAGCUUGCGUCGAUUACGUCCCUGCCCUUUGUACACACCGCCCGUCGCUACUACCGAUCGAGUGAUUUAGUGAGGACUUCGGACUGGUCUUCAAGUUGGCUUCGGUCGGCUCGAAGUUCCGGAAAGAUGCCCAAACUUGAUCACUUAGAGGAGGUAAAAGUCGUAACAAGGUUUCCGUAGGUGAACCUGCGGAAG